RNAcentral lists this transfer RNA (86 nucleotides) under Sphingomonas xinjiangensis. RNAcentral describes it as "tRNA-Leu". It matches the Rfam family "tRNA". From Rfam's summary of the family: Transfer RNA (tRNA) molecules are approximately 80 nucleotides in length. Their secondary structure includes four short double-helical elements and three loops (D, anti-codon, and T loops). Further hydrogen bonds mediate the characteristic L-shaped molecular structure. tRNAs have two regions of fundamental functional importance: the anti-codon, which is responsible for specific mRNA codon recognition, and the 3' end, to which the tRNAs corresponding amino acid is attached (by aminoacyl-tRNA synthetases). tRNAs cope with the degeneracy of the genetic code in two manners: having more than one tRNA (with a specific anti-codon) for a particular amino acid; and 'wobble' base-pairing, i.e. permitting non-standard base-pairing at the 3rd anti-codon position. The record is from RNAcentral. Lineage: Bacteria; Pseudomonadati; Pseudomonadota; Alphaproteobacteria; Sphingomonadales; Sphingomonadaceae.
GCGGACGUGGCGGAAUGGUAGACGCCGGUGACUUAAAAUCCCCUGCCCCUCGGGGCGUGCGGGUUCGAGUCCCGCCGUCCGUACCA